CGAGGGCGUCGUCGAGGACGUCGCCGCUGCGGCCGACGAAGGGUUCGCCCUGCUCGUCCUCGUUCGCGCCGGGGCCCUCGCC
Molecule: transfer RNA, 82 nt
Filed under: Halarchaeum rubridurum
Lineage: Archaea; Methanobacteriati; Methanobacteriota; Halobacteria; Halobacteriales; Halobacteriaceae
Description: tRNA-Arg
Source: RNAcentral